Molecule: ribosomal RNA, 254 nt
Filed under: uncultured bacterium
Lineage: Bacteria
Description: partial 16S ribosomal RNA
Rfam family: Bacterial small subunit ribosomal RNA
Source: RNAcentral
GAUCAUGGCUCAGGAUGAACGCUAGCUACAGGCUUAACACAUGCAAGUCGAGGGGCAGCAUUUUUCUACCAAUAGAAGAGAUGGCGACCGGCGCACGGGUGAGUAACACGUAUCCAACCUACCGAUAACUCCGGAAUAGCCUUUCGAAAGAAAGAUUAAUACCGGAUAGUAUACGAAUAUCGCAUGAUAUUUUUAUUAAAGAAUUUCGGUUAUCGAUGGGGAUGCGUUCCAUUAGUUUGUUGGCGGGGUAACGG